UACGUAGGGUGCAAGCGUUGUCCGGAAUUAUUGGGCGUAAAGAGCUCGUAGGCGGCUUUCUAAGUCGGGGGUGAAAUCCUGGAGCUCAACUCCAGAACUGCCUUCGAUACUGGAGAGCUCGAGUCCGGGAGAGGUGAGUGGAACUGCGAGUGUAGAGGUGAAAUUCGUAGAUAUUCGCAAGAACACCAGUGGCGAAGGCGGCUCACUGGCCCGGUACUGACGCUGAGGUGCGAAAGCGUGGGGAGCGAACAGG
RNAcentral lists this ribosomal RNA (253 nucleotides) under uncultured bacterium. RNAcentral's name for it is "partial 16S ribosomal RNA". It matches the Rfam family "Bacterial small subunit ribosomal RNA", at positions 524 to 776 of the family's 1533-position model. The record is from RNAcentral.